This 106-nucleotide small nuclear RNA is filed under the name Erinaceus europaeus (western European hedgehog). Lineage: Eukaryota; Metazoa; Chordata; Mammalia; Eulipotyphla; Erinaceidae. The record is from RNAcentral.
GUGCUCACUUUGGCAGCACAUAUACUAAAAUUGGAAUAAUACAGAGAAGAUUGGCAUGGCCCCUGCACAAGGUGACACACAAAUCCAUGAAAUGUUCCAUAUUUUC